UUUAAUUGAAGAGUUUGAUCAUGGCUCAGAUUGAACGCUGGCGGCAGGCCUAACACAUGCAAGUCGAGCGGUAACAGAAAGUAGCUUGCUACUUUGCUGACGAGCGGCGGACGGGUGAGUAAUGCUUGGGAACAUGCCUUGAGGUGGGGGACAACAGUUGGAAACGACUGCUAAUACCGCAUAAUGUCUACGGACCAAAGGGGGCUUCGGCUCUCGCCUUUAGAU
RNAcentral lists this ribosomal RNA (225 nucleotides) under Pseudoalteromonas sp. H103. RNAcentral's name for it is "partial 16S ribosomal RNA". It matches the Rfam family "Bacterial small subunit ribosomal RNA", at positions 1 to 226 of the family's 1533-position model. Lineage: Bacteria; Pseudomonadati; Pseudomonadota; Gammaproteobacteria; Alteromonadales; Pseudoalteromonadaceae. The record is from RNAcentral.